This 253-nucleotide ribosomal RNA is filed under the name uncultured bacterium. RNAcentral's name for it is "partial 16S ribosomal RNA". It matches the Rfam family "Bacterial small subunit ribosomal RNA", at positions 524 to 776 of the family's 1533-position model. The record is from RNAcentral.
GACGUAGGAUGCAAGCGUUGUCCGGAUUUAUUGGGCGUAAAGAGUUCGUAGGUGGUUCGUUAAGUCUGGUGUAAAAGACUGGGGCUCAACCCUGGGAUCGCACUGGAUACUGGCGGACUGGAGUGUGGUAGAGGCAAGCGGAAUUCCCAGUGUAGCGGUGAAAUGCGUAGAUAUUGGGAAGAACACCGGUGGCGCAAGCGGCUUGCUGGGCCUUACCUGACGCUGAGGCGCGAAAGCUAGGGGAGCAAACAGG